Molecule: long non-coding RNA, 447 nt
Organism: Cyprinus carpio carpio
Lineage: Eukaryota; Metazoa; Chordata; Actinopteri; Cypriniformes; Cyprinidae
Source: Ensembl
CCGCAGCUGCACAGAGGUGUUGAUGUCGUGUGAAGGUAUCGCCACAACAUUAUGAAAAAUACAACUUUAUUUGAAGGAUACAACUUGAGAAACAAAAUGGUGUAAUCCUUCUGGAGCCAGAAGAAGUGUGAGCCAAGUCAAAAUGAAACACAAGAACAUUCUCCAGCAAGCCAAUAGAAAGAAGGCUGAGGCCCGUAAAACAGGUGGGGGUCCACCUCUACCUUCCCUCACCCCAGCUGAGGAGCUGGCACUGUCCCUUAAUAAAGGGCACCUGUGGUCGAUGGGAUUCCAGGGGGCAGUUCGUCAGACUCCGCUACCAAGACAAGUGGCUUAGUAAAAUGUAGGUGUACCAUAUUAAUACUUAUGAUUUAUUGAUGUUUUCACUGUUUUUGUCAGUGUUUUAAUAAAGAAAAUCAUCAACACUGUCACCAUUUUAAAAAGGCAAUU